UGAGUUUGUUCUAAAGUUGAAGGACUGUUAGGCGCUGUUCAGGUUUGUCACCGCUCUCAACCUGGAGUGUCGGCCAGAACACCACUCAGGCCAGGAUUCAGCUCAGGACCAGAUGUUUGGAUGAGGUGCACCAGGAGUUUAAUGAAGACACGAGGCAGGAUCCUUUAACUGUUCUGUAUUCCAAACUGUAUCACAGAUAAUCCACUGAACACGGAUGGGCAUAAAUGUGUCUACAUGAAGGAGUGUGUGGUUUCCUAGAAUAAACAAAAAUACAGAAAAUAAGUUCAAGGUGUCCUAUCAUUACACCAUGCUAUUAUACCUUCGAUAAACUAAGAAGGAAACCUCUAAGUCAAUAUUACUAAGCAAACUUAGGCAAGUUAACUCCACAGUUAACUAAUAACCAUGCCUCUGCUCCACUGAGAAUAGACAUGCAUGUUCGACACAAUGCUCUACAAUACACACGUAGCAUAUAGCUCGGACUUAGCAACAGGUGAAAUAAUAGCAAACAAAUAAACUUCAAAUCACUCAUUUAGCUGCAGUAAACACUCAAAUAUUACAACUUACUCUACAACACACUCUUAAGGAGAACACAUAUCUUGUGGUCUUUCCCACGUGUUAGCACAGCGGCUCGGUUACCCAAACUUCCCCACCAGAUACCAGCAACGUUGGCUACGGCAAGGUGUUGACGUCAUCACUGCCCUAACUACGGUAUCCCUUAAGGGACAAAAGUAACGCUGAACAGAAAACACAUAAUACAAAGAGUAAUACUCAACACCAAACUUAAACUA
Long non-coding RNA from Poecilia latipinna (sailfin molly), 788 nucleotides. RefSeq lists it as uncharacterized. The transcript is spliced from 2 exons. Lineage: Eukaryota; Metazoa; Chordata; Actinopteri; Cyprinodontiformes; Poeciliidae. The record is from RefSeq and is a predicted model, not a curated record.